UGAAUGAUAGAGGUGGUGUGGUGAUUGACCUCAAUGCUAAUGGUUAUCCCCAAGGUUCAACGAAUGAAUGAAGCUAUGCUAUGAUCGUACCCGGAUAGAGAUGAUAGUCUUCCUCUGAUGUCUCCAAGCCGGCCAUAAUAGAAUCGAUAGGCGAAGCAGCCAAUAGCAGUCUGUUCUCGCCUAUUGAUAGAUAGCAGGUUGCUUCCAAGCUCAAAUCAUUUGAAAUAGAAUUGCUACUUUUUUCUUGUUAUUGAUAGAGUGGUAUUGUCGCCCCUAUCAAAUAAAGUAGAGGAAGAGUCUUUCUCCAAUGAGAAUAAAGAAAGUUUUUGGGCAAGACAAGAAAGGAACUCGCCCUUUGACACCAAGGGAUAAGAGCGGAUUGCUGGCGAUGACUUGGUGAAGGGAAUCUAUGAGAGAAGGUUCUCGACGAACCGGGUUCCGACCGAAUAGAGCGCGGAGCCAAUGAGUUCAGUCGAACAACGUAACGAGUCUAAGGGCGCUUGAAAGGAAUGGACGGGCGAAGGAAAAUGAAAUAUGAAAAAAAAUCUGCUUUGGGAGUGUGAGAUAGGCGGACGGGGAGUACGCAGCCGAACAACCGCAGGGGCUUCCAGCAGUGAUAGCUGAACUAACCAGACGGGCCGCCCAAAACCUGGAGCUGACAUUGAAAUCGGAAAUCAAAGUCGGACCCCGGCUAUCCGAAGAAGGCAGACUGAAGCGGAGGAGCAGAAAAUGCAACACAACAAGGGGCGAAUCAAUCAGAAUGGAGACAGGGAGGAGAGGUAAAAGAUAGAUUUUCGAGCCUGAACAUAUAAGCAACCUUCUAUCUGGCCUCUGUACCAGUAGUGGAGUGGCUUGCUAUUUUCAAUCAGAAAAGGAAGAUUGAGCAAUGCAAAGGAGAAAGAAGUUGUCCCCUCUUCUCUGGUAACCCGCCGCCGCAUAUGUCGAAAAAGAGGGAGCGGGGAAGGAAGAACAACCGUUUUACUUUGGCACAUGAGGUGGCGGGU
Molecule: long non-coding RNA, 1004 nt
Filed under: Helianthus annuus (common sunflower)
Lineage: Eukaryota; Viridiplantae; Streptophyta; Magnoliopsida; Asterales; Asteraceae
Description: hypothetical non coding rna
Source: RNAcentral